RNAcentral lists this ribosomal RNA (410 nucleotides) under uncultured bacterium. RNAcentral describes it as "bacterial SSU rRNA". It matches the Rfam family "Bacterial small subunit ribosomal RNA", at positions 370 to 772 of the family's 1533-position model. The record is from RNAcentral.
AAUGGGCGAAAGCCUGAUCCAGCCAUGCCGCGUGUGUGAAGAAGGCCUUCGGGUUGUAAAGCACUUUAAGCGGGGAGGAAGUACUUGGGGCUAAUACCCCUGAGUGUUGACGUUACCCGCAGAAUAAGCACCGGCUAACUCUGUGCCAGCAGCCGCGGUAAUACAGAGGGUGCAAGCGUUAAUCGGAAUUACUGGGCGUAAAGCGCGCGUAGGCGGUUUGUUAAGUCGGAUGUGAAAUCCCCGGGCUCAACCUGGGCACGGCAUCCGAUACUGGCUGACUAGAGUGUGGGAGAGGAAGGUAGAAUUCCAGGUGUAGCGGUGAAAUGCGUAGAGAUCUGGAGGAAUACCGAUGGCGAAGGCAGCCUUCUGGCCUAACACUGACGCUGAGGUGCGAAAGCAUGGGGAGCAAA